UGAGAUUUAUCCUGGCUCAGAUUGAACGCUGGCGGCAUGCCUUACACAUGCAAGUCGAACGGCAGCACGGGUGCUUGCACCUGGUGGCGAGUGGCGAACGGGUGAGUAAUACAUCGGAACAUGUCCUGUAGUGGGGGAUAGCCCGGCGAAAGCCGGAUUAAUACCGCAUACGAUCUACGGAUGAAAGCGGGGGACCUUCGGGCCUCGCGCUAUAGGGUUGGCCGAUGGCUGAUUAGCUAGUUGGUGGGGUAAAGGCCUACCAAGGCGACGAUCAGUAGCUGGUCUGAGAGGACGACCAGCCACACUGGGACUGAGACACGGCCCAGACUCCUACGGGAGGCAGCAGUGGGGAAUUUUGGACAAUGGGCGAAAGCCUGAUCCAGCAAUGCCGCGUGUGUGAAGAAGGCCUUCGGGUUGUAAAGCACUUUUGUCC
Molecule: ribosomal RNA, 433 nt
Filed under: Burkholderia anthina
Lineage: Bacteria; Pseudomonadati; Pseudomonadota; Betaproteobacteria; Burkholderiales; Burkholderiaceae
Description: bacterial SSU rRNA
Rfam family: Bacterial small subunit ribosomal RNA
Source: RNAcentral